This 396-nucleotide ribosomal RNA is filed under the name uncultured bacterium. RNAcentral describes it as "bacterial SSU rRNA". It matches the Rfam family "Bacterial small subunit ribosomal RNA", at positions 490 to 890 of the family's 1533-position model. The record is from RNAcentral.
GCGACGGCUAAUACGUGCCAGCAGCCGCGGUAAUACGUAUGUCGCAAGCGUUAUCCGGAUUUAUUGGGCGUAAAGCGCGUCUAGGUGGUUUGGUAAGUCUGAUGUGAAAAUGCGGGGCUCAACUCCGUAUUGCGUUGGAAACUGCCAAACUAGAGUACUGGAGAGGUGGGCGGAACUACAAGUGUAGAGGUGAAAUUCGUAGAUAUUUGUAGGAAUGCCGAUGGAGAAGUCAGCCCACUGGACAGAUACUGACGCUGAAGCGCGAAAGCGUGGGUAGCAAACAGGAUUAGAUACCCUGGUAGUCCACGCUGUAAACGAUGAUUACUAGGUGUUGGGGGUCGAACCUCAGCGCCCAAGCUAACGCGAUAAGUAAUCCGCCUGGGGAGUACGUACGCA